AGGAGAAAAAGGAGGAACUGGAGGCUACUGACGAGACAACGAGCUAGAGGUUGUCGUCGCCAUAGCCAGCCCACACCUCGCCGUGGCCCACGCUGCCAGGGAGGGAGGAGAGGGAGCCCGGUGGCGGUGGCCAAGGAGGAAGCCAACUCGAUUCGCAUUGAUGACAACAGCUCUGAACAUAUCGACGCCAUCUCCGGGAAGAUGCCGACGACAGUGGCAGCUCGGCUAGAUCCGACGAGCAUGACGCCGGAUCUAUCCAGCAAGCAUGAUGUCGGAUCCACGCCAGAGAGCUCAAGCGCCGCCGAUCCCGUCGCCCUCUGCCACAUGGAGCUCGACGUCGGAGAUCUCUUCACCACCAUGAACUGGGCGGGCCACGCCUCGUCGAUAAUGUGA
This 393-nucleotide long non-coding RNA is filed under the name Oryza sativa Indica Group (long-grained rice). RNAcentral describes it as "lncRNA OsMH63_03G017870". Lineage: Eukaryota; Viridiplantae; Streptophyta; Magnoliopsida; Poales; Poaceae. The record is from RNAcentral.